UACGGGGGGGGCAAGCGUUGUUCGGAAUUACUGGGCGUAAAGGGCUCGUAGGCGGCCAACUAAGUCAGACGUGAAAUCCCUCGGCUUAACCGGGGAACUGCGUCUGAUACUGGAUGGCUUGAGUUCGGGAGAGGGAUGCGGAAUUCCAGGUGUAGCGGUGAAAUGCGUAGAUAUCUGGAGGAACACCGGUGGCGAAGGCGGCAUCCUGGACUGAUACUGACGCUGAGGAGCGAAAGCCAGGGGAGCAAACGGG
This 253-nucleotide ribosomal RNA is filed under the name uncultured bacterium. RNAcentral's name for it is "partial 16S ribosomal RNA". It matches the Rfam family "Bacterial small subunit ribosomal RNA", at positions 524 to 776 of the family's 1533-position model. The record is from RNAcentral.